This 291-nucleotide long non-coding RNA is filed under the name Gossypium raimondii (Peruvian cotton). RNAcentral's name for it is "long non-coding RNA (GRAI_LNC007235)". The record is from RNAcentral. Lineage: Eukaryota; Viridiplantae; Streptophyta; Magnoliopsida; Malvales; Malvaceae.
GUCAGUGUUGGUGGGAUUGGGUUGUUAAUGGGGAGUUGAUAUUAUUUCUCUUAACUUUAAUUUUUAUUUUUAUUUUAUUUUGUUUCCUAAAAUUUCUCUUUUUCCUCCGUUCUUUUUGUUUCCCCACAGUUUUUAUUUUCUUUUUCAUUUUCCAUUCUACACGUGAGAUCUUGAAAAGAAAAUUUCUUUUUGAUUUUUGAUCUUAAGUGCUUUAUUUCCCUUGUUCUUGUUGUUCAAAUCGGUAGAGGGUUUGAUUGUAUUGGUUGCUAUUUGGUUGGUGUAAGUCUUGUU